This 638-nucleotide ribosomal RNA is filed under the name Cuphophyllus yacurensis. RNAcentral describes it as "LSU rRNA". It matches the Rfam family "Eukaryotic large subunit ribosomal RNA", at positions 34 to 649 of the family's 3401-position model. The record is from RNAcentral. Lineage: Eukaryota; Fungi; Basidiomycota; Agaricomycetes; Agaricales; Hygrophoraceae.
UUAAGCAUAUCAAUAAGCGGAGGAAAAGAAACUAACAAGGAUUCCCCUAGUAACUGCGAGUGAAGCGGGAAAAGCUCAAAUUUAAAAUCUGGCGGUCCUUGUGGCCGUCCGAGUUGUAAUCUAGAGAAGUGCUAUCCGCGCUGGACCGUGUACAAGUCUCCUGGAAUGGAGCGUCAUAGAGGGUGAGAAUCCCGUCUUUGACACGGACUACCAGGGCUUAUGUGAUGUGCUCUCAAAGAGUCGAGUUGUUUGGGAAUGCAGCUCAAAAUGGGUGGUAAAUUCCAUCUAAAGCUAAAUAUUGGCGAGAGACCGAUAGCGAACAAGUACCGUGAGGGAAAGAUGAAAAGAACUUUGGAAAGAGAGUUAAACAGUACGUGAAAUUGUUGAAAGGGAAACGCUUGAAGUCAGUCGCGUCGUCCGGGGAUCAACCUUGCAAUUUUGCUAGGGCGCAUUUUCCGGUUGACGGGUCAACAUCAAUUUUGACCGUUGGAUAAAGGCUUUGGGAAUGUGGCAUCUUUGGAUGUGUUAUAGCCCGUGGUCGCAUACAACGGUUGGGAUUGAGGAACUCAGCACGCCGAAAGGCCGGGUUUUUAACCACGUUCGUGCUUAGGAUGUUGGCAUAAUGGCUUUAAUCGACC